RNAcentral lists this ribosomal RNA (255 nucleotides) under uncultured bacterium. Its description in RNAcentral is "partial 16S ribosomal RNA". It matches the Rfam family "Bacterial small subunit ribosomal RNA", at positions 57 to 305 of the family's 1533-position model. The record is from RNAcentral.
GCAAGUCGAACGAGAACGGGUAUUAGUUUACUAAUACUGUCAGCUAAGUGGCGCACGGGUGAGUAAUAUAUAGUUAAUCUGCCCCAAAGAAGAGAAUAAUUGCUGGAAACGGCUUGUAAUGCUCUAUAUGCCUUUAUGACAUAAGUCAGCAAGGGAAACAUUUAUGGCUUUGGGAUGAGACUGUACGGUAUCAGCUUGUUGGUGAGGUAAUGGCUCACCAAGGCUAUGACGCCUAGCUGGUUUGAGAGGAUGAUC